GAACUCCGACCGGAGACGGAAGGAGUGCUUUUAUUAGAUCAAAACCAAUCGGUGGCGGGUUCGCUCGUCAUCGUACAACUUGGUGACUCUGAAUAACUUUAUGCUGAUCGCACGGUCUCGCACCGGCGACGCAUCUUUCAAAUGUCUGCCUUAUCAACUGUCGAUGGUAGGUUCUGCGCCUACCAUGGUUGUAACGGGUAACGGGGAAUCAGGGUUCGAUUCCGGAGAGGGAGCCUGAGAAACGGCUACCACAUCCAAGGAAGGCAGCAGGCGCGCAAAUUACCCACUCCCGGCACGGGGAGGUAGUGACGAAAAAUAACGAUACGGGACUCAUCCGAGGCCCCGUAAUCGGAAUGAGUACACUCUAAACCCUUUAACGAGGAUCAAUUGGAGGGCAAGUCUGGUGCCAGCAGCCGCGGUAAUUCCAGCUCCAAUAGCGUAUAUUAAAGUUGUUGCGGUUAAAAAGCUCGUAGUCGAAUCUGUGUCCCGCGCCGCUGGUUCAUCGUCCGCGGUGUCAACUGGCGUGUCGCGGGACGUCCUGCCGGUGGGCUUAGCUUGCAAGGGCGGCCCAACUCAAUCCUGCCGCGGUGCUCUUCACUGAGUGUCGAGGUGGGCCGGCACGUUUACUUUGAACAAAUUAGAGUGCUUAAAGCAGGCUAAAACUUCGCCUGAAUACUGUGUGCAUGGAAUAAUGGAAUAGGACCUCGGUUCUAUUUUGUUGGUUUUCGGAACCCCGAGGUAAUGAUUAAUAGGAACGGAUGGGGGCAUUCGUAUUGCGACGUUAGAGGUGAAAUUCUUGGAUCGUCGCAAGACGGACAGAAGCGAAAGCAUUUGCCAAAAACGCUUUCAUUGAUCAAGAACGAAAGUUAGAGGUUCGAAGGCGAUCAGAUACCGCCCUAGUUCUAACCAUAAACGAUGCCAGCUAGCGAUCCGUCGACGUUCCUCCGAUGACUCGACGGGCAGCUUCCGGGAAACCAAAGCUUUUGGGUUCCGGGGGAAGUAUGGUUGCAAAGCUGAAACUUAAAGGAAUUGACGGAAGGGCACCACCAGGAGUGGAGCCUGCGGCUUAAUUUGACUCAACACGGGAAACCUCACCAGGCCCGGACACCGGAAGGAUUGACAGAUUGAGAGCUCUUUCUUGAUUCGGUGGGUGGUGGUGCAUGGCCGUUCUUAGUUGGUGGAGCGAUUUGUCUGGUUAAUUCCGAUAACGAACGAGACUCUAGCCUGCUAACUAGGCGUAUUUUGACAUCGCAAAGGCCCGCCGGUAUUGGGGUUCGCUCCUUUAUCGCGCGCGGUUUUUACUGUCGGCGUACAAACAAUUCUUCUUAGAGGGACAGGCGGCCUCUAGCCGCACGAGAUUGAGCAAUAACAGGUCUGUGAUGCCCUUAGAUGUUCUGGGCCGCACGCGCGCUACACUGAAGGAAUCAGCGUGUCCUCCCUGGCCGAGCGGCCCGGGUA
RNAcentral lists this ribosomal RNA (1458 nucleotides) under Eugnamptus amurensis. RNAcentral's name for it is "SSU rRNA". It matches the Rfam family "Eukaryotic small subunit ribosomal RNA", at positions 174 to 1548 of the family's 1831-position model. Lineage: Eukaryota; Metazoa; Arthropoda; Insecta; Coleoptera; Attelabidae. The record is from RNAcentral.